GUAUAGAUUAAAACGCUAACUUCGUUUCGUUGAAAUUAUGGUAGGAUAUAUACCACUAGCAUUAGUGAGAAUCUAUUUUCUGGGCGUCUAACAAUUUUAUUCACCAUCCUGUGUUGUAUUUUAACAACUCUUCUAAUGAACCUUCGACAAAUAGAGGCUUUUUGUUUCAUGCACUUAACAUUUAUUUAUCAAUUGUACAUAUUGUAUAUAUUCAUAUACUAUAUAUAAGUAGAACAUAAAACAAACUCAUAAAUAUUAAAUAUAAUUUUUAUAUUUGACAAAUUAUAAAUAAGCUUUCAUAGCGCUCGAUAUAUACUUAAAGAAUUCUCUCACAACAUUCUCGUUCUCUUUAUGUUCCACAAUGCCAAUAAACUGCAUGGCCACGAACAGCAUUAACAGGACGACAAAUGUACAAACCAACCACAGGCAAAAUCUGGAAAAGUUCGGUUAGUUACACAGGCCGGAUAUUGUUUAUAUAACAUUUCCAAGACAAUCGUUACAAAACGUAUAAAACAUAUUGGUAAACUUUUAAUUAUAUAAAAAAAAAUAUUUUAGGUACCAAAAGUGAUAUUUAUAGCCAUUAUUUAAUCCAUAGAGUCAAUCAAUAGAGUUAAUAGAGAUAUAUAUUAUCUAAGCAUUAACCAUUAAGGACUACCGUACAAUCAUACAACUUAAACAAAUUUCGGCUUAAGAACGACAAAAUACUGAAAUUGGUUGGAUCCAUUCAAAUCCACCAACAAUUGUACUAGUCUAUGUAGAAAGUUCUCAUGAUGUCUGAGAAUCGAACGCUUUUUUAAACGAAAUAACAUUCGCAUAUCAACCUGUGAAAGGCCUCAAAAUAAAGCUCAUCAAUUCUUGCAUAAUCGAGUUUUCUUUAUCGGCAUCUGGACUUUUGUGAAAAACAAAAGCUCCAAAGCAAAUUGUUAAGAAAAUUAUUAAGGCGAUGAUCACAAUGCAGGCGGUGGCACAAAACACGUUGUAUCUGCAGCCGCUGAAAGAGAACGUGCAAAAAGUGUACUCAUUAUUGGAGAAACACUCUGAAAGUAUUAUAUAUAUAUUUUAAGCAAUAUAAAGAAUCAAGACUUUGUCCUUACCAACACAUAUUCUUCUGUUUGUUUUUGCCUUGUUGUUUGUAUUAAAGAGUUUUAGCAAAUUA
Non-coding RNA from Bactrocera oleae (olive fruit fly), 1156 nucleotides. Lineage: Eukaryota; Metazoa; Arthropoda; Insecta; Diptera; Tephritidae. The record is from RefSeq and is a predicted model, not a curated record.